This 1061-nucleotide long non-coding RNA is filed under the name Triticum aestivum (bread wheat). RNAcentral's name for it is "long non-coding RNA (TAES_LNC012549)". Lineage: Eukaryota; Viridiplantae; Streptophyta; Magnoliopsida; Poales; Poaceae. The record is from RNAcentral.
UUCUCUCCACCCGGAGAAAGUGGAUCUCGGUCGGCCUCUUCGAGAUCCUCCCCAUCAAUGGUCGCCGCCACAACACCAAGAAAAAGCUUGGCAGCCGGUGCCGUUGUUGUGGAUGGUGCCCAUCUUGGUUCAUGGAGCGAAUAGGUUUCUCGUGGGCGUGCAAAAGCGUGCUCGAGCGCCGGUGCCGUCGCUGCGGAUGGGACGACCGCGUUGACUACGAGCGUGCUCGAGAUCCCGGUUCAGACCGCCACGCUCAGGCGGCCGAGCCUUAGCGGUGCAUCAUGGACCGGCGGUGCUCUCGCACACCUGCGCCAGCCUCCGCGCCUCGGAGGAGGAGGUCGACGACGGAGGCGCCGUCAAGGGCGAACACUGGCUCGGUACCCCCAGCCCACGCCCCUCCUCUCGCGCCUCGCUCGUGCUCACCACCGGCCGUUUGGUGUUCGCUGACUUCUGCUGCGCGUUUGUGCUGACAAUCUGAAGGAUCUGCAGAGGGUGCUGCGAUGGGAUGCCUUCAAGCAGGUCUGCAAGCUCCAGCUGGCGACGCGCCUGGUGAAGUUCAUUCGCAUCGGACCAGCGGGAUCCUCGGCUGGCUGUGAGCCGCAUGUCCCACCAGGUCUCCCUCCCCCUGUUGAUUUUGAUUUUUCCCAUCCCUUUCGUUUCCGAUUUUCCAAGCCAUUUUUAGUGCUUCUCGAUAUGCAGGUAGUACGGGUUCCAUGGACUCUUUUCAUCGGUGGAGACAGAGUACCGGUCAGGAGCAUGGCUUGGUGCAAGAUGGAUGCAAAAAUGGUGUCUCCCUCUGAUGACUUCGGCGGGUACUGCUGGAUCCAUGUCCACAAAGGCAUGGCCUACGGCGAGCGCAGCCGGCGCUUGGCUGGAGAGUAGCUUAGUGUUCUCCAGGAAAUGUUUGUAAUUUUAAGUUUUUGGGGAUCUUUUUUGCUUCUGUACAGGCGUAUGUCCAUGUUUGUUUAUGUAACAUACAUUUUAUUUAAUGAAAUGAGCAUAUAUUUUUUGACAAAAUAUACUCGCUUAAAAUUUCCAUGGACCAACAGCAGAGAAAUGAG